CUCCAGCGGAAGCGCAGGGCUCUCUGCCGAGGAAGAGGGGAGAGCUGGGGCCAGGCGGCAGCCAGGGGGAUGCUGGCACGCUUCUACAAAGUGAACUUGGCUGUCACCGGUGCUGGUUAUCUAGCACAUUCACCUCCCCUGGAGCGAGAACAGGACACUCUCAGGCUGAGACGGCAGCACCGCAGCAUGUCCGUGGCACAGAGUGGCACUGCUCUUUCGAAGGUCCCACAUAACAUCCAUUCAGAAACGAGAGAAGUGAGGUCCAGAAGCGAGUGAUUUGCCACAGCCGCUUGUCCAGCUGGUGGCAGAGGCAAGAUCCUAAAGUCUCCAACACGAAAGAAGAGACAUUCAGUCAAGUUCACACCAACUUUGGGCCUCACUCCCCAGUCUUCCAGAUGGACCAAUAUCAUCGCCGCCCAAGGAAUGAAGAUGAGAAUUCCACACCUGCCACGCUGGGGGAUCUCAUCUCCAUA
Long non-coding RNA from Meriones unguiculatus (Mongolian gerbil), 473 nucleotides. RefSeq lists it as uncharacterized. NCBI's taxonomy places the organism in Eukaryota, Metazoa, Chordata, Mammalia, Rodentia, Muridae. The record is from RefSeq and is a predicted model, not a curated record. The transcript is spliced from 3 exons.